This 1221-nucleotide ribosomal RNA is filed under the name Escherichia coli. Its description in RNAcentral is "partial 23S ribosomal RNA". It matches the Rfam family "Bacterial large subunit ribosomal RNA", at positions 344 to 1571 of the family's 2925-position model. The record is from RNAcentral. Lineage: Bacteria; Pseudomonadati; Pseudomonadota; Gammaproteobacteria; Enterobacterales; Enterobacteriaceae.
GGAAAGGCGCGCGAUACAGGGUGACAGCCCCGUACACAAAAAUGCACAUGCUGUGAGCUCGAUGAGUAGGGCGGGACACGUGGUAUCCUGUCUGAAUAUGGGGGGACCAUCCUCCAAGGCUAAAUACUCCUGACUGACCGAUAGUGAACCAGUACCGUGAGGGAAAGGCGAAAAGAACCCCGGCGAGGGGAGUGAAAAAGAACCUGAAACCGUGUACGUACAAGCAGUGGGAGCACGCUUAGGCGUGUGACUGCGUACCUUUUGUAUAAUGGGUCAGCGACUUAUAUUCUGUAGCAAGGUUAACCGAAUAGGGGAGCCGAAGGGAAACCGAGUCUUAACUGGGCGUUAAGUUGCAGGGUAUAGACCCGAAACCCGGUGAUCUAGCCAUGGGCAGGUUGAAGGUUGGGUAACACUAACUGGAGGACCGAACCGACUAAUGUUGAAAAAUUAGCGGAUGACUUGUGGCUGGGGGUGAAAGGCCAAUCAAACCGGGAGAUAGCUGGUUCUCCCCGAAAGCUAUUUAGGUAGCGCCUCGUGAAUUCAUCUCCGGGGGUAGAGCACUGUUUCGGCAAGGGGGUCAUCCCGACUUACCAACCCGAUGCAAACUGCGAAUACCGGAGAAUGUUAUCACGGGAGACACACGGCGGGUGCUAACGUCCGUCGUGAAGAGGGAAACAACCCAGACCGCCAGCUAAGGUCCCAAAGUCAUGGUUAAGUGGGAAACGAUGUGGGAAGGCCCAGACAGCCAGGAUGUUGGCUUAGAAGCAGCCAUCAUUUAAAGAAAGCGUAAUAGCUCACUGGUCGAGUCGGCCUGCGCGGAAGAUGUAACGGGGCUAAACCAUGCACCGAAGCUGCGGCAGCGACGCUGAUGCGUUGUUGGGUAGGGGAGCGUUCUGUAAGCCUGCGAAGGUGUGCUGUGAGGCAUGCUGGAGGUAUCAGAAGUGCGAAUGCUGACAUAAGUAACGAUAAAGCGGGUGAAAAGCCCGCUCGCCGGAAGACCAAGGGUUCCUGUCCAACGUUAAUCGGGGCAGGGUGAGUCGACCCCUAAGGCGAGGCCGAAAGGCGUAGUCGAUGGGAAACAGGUUAAUAUUCCUGUACUUGGUGUUACUGCGAAGGGGGGACGGAGAAGGCUAUGUUGGCCGGGCGACGGUUGUCCCGGUUUAAGCGUGUAGGCUGGUUUUCCAGGCAAAUCCGGAAAAUCAAGGCUGAGGCGUGAUGACG